RNAcentral lists this long non-coding RNA (575 nucleotides) under Elaeis guineensis (African oil palm). Its description in RNAcentral is "long non-coding RNA (EGUI_LNC000847)". The record is from RNAcentral. Lineage: Eukaryota; Viridiplantae; Streptophyta; Magnoliopsida; Arecales; Arecaceae.
AAAUGGAGGUCCAUCAGCGCUCGCAUAUCGAAUAACCAUAGCACCUUCGAAGUCACGACUUCUGCCUGAACCAAGAAAAGAGUGAUGGAGUGGGAAUGGGAAAAAAAAAAGAAUAUAUUUUGGAAGACUAGAAGGACAUAUCUAAUGAUUCCCAACCACCGGGAAUAGGAGAGGAGGGCCAUGGUGUCUGGAUCGGACCACCUCGACCACGUUGGCUGUAGUAGAUCUUGCAAGCAGUGGGGAAGGAGCAAAUAAAACCAUGUACACCUCGCUAAUCAUCGAAAUAGUACGAAUCGGAGCUCGAUCCAGCUGUGGGAGUGGGUUGUAUGCCGAUCUGGAGACUGCCGGGGUGGCCGGGACUCGGGUGCAUGGGAGGAUGUGGGAGCCUGGAGCCGGGUGGCAGUGGACCUCUUCCCCUCUCUCUCCUAUGGUAAAAAGUCACCGGCGGCAAGGCGAAAGGGGGGGGGCCAAGAAGGGAAAAUGGGAAGGAAUAGUUUUAACCCCUGUCCGAGGGAUCUUAUAGAAAUAAUUUUAUCCCCUUGGACGAGAAAACAUGCUUUGCUUGGAACUUUUUC